RNAcentral lists this ribosomal RNA (253 nucleotides) under uncultured bacterium. Its description in RNAcentral is "partial 16S ribosomal RNA". It matches the Rfam family "Bacterial small subunit ribosomal RNA", at positions 524 to 776 of the family's 1533-position model. The record is from RNAcentral.
UACGUAGGGCGCAAGCGUUAUCCGGAAUUAUUGGGCGUAAAGAGCUCGUAGGCGGUUUGUCGCGUCUGCCGUGAAAGUCCGGGGCUCAACUCCGGAUCUGCGGUGGGUACGGGCAGACUAGAGUGAUGUAGGGGAGACUGGAAUUCCUGGUGUAGCGGUGAAAUGCGCAGAUAUCAGGAGGAACACCGAUGGGGAAGGCAGGUCUCUGGGCAUUAACUGACGCUGAGGAGCGAAAGCAUGGGGAGCGAACAGG